UCAAAGUUAAAAUCUUCUCCUCUAACAUGAAAAAUUUUAUAAAAUAUUAUCUCUCAAUUAAUGGCAAAAUCCAUUUUUGUGACUGCAUAGUUAGAAAGAGAAGGAAAACUUCCAUGAGAAUCGAAAGGCAACUCACGAAAGUCAAAUUACCAAGGAAGCUAAGAAAUUUACCAGUACAAAAAAUGAUCGGGUAGUCUACUUUCACAAACAAAAGGGUCAGAAUUCAGAGCGAGGGAGUCACCAUCAAACCCUAAUCUGCUUUGAAAAGUGUGCCAGAGGGAGCACUGUGAGACCCCGGACUGCAUCAGUUUUAUGUAGUAAAUAGAAGUAGGUUCCUAAUGAACCCUCUGCAACAGCCAGCAGCUACUGUCACGGCGGAAUCCUCCACCGGCAAGGCAAGGCCACGGUGGGUUGUGGUGGAUGGGUGGUGUUUCUUUGGGAUUGAUAAAUCAUGGGUGAAGAUGGGUUGCUCUUCUGACAAAUGUCAUGUGAGUGUGGGGUUUGAAGUUUUCUUUUUUAGUGCUAAAAAAUUGUUAAAAAAAACGCUACUAGGCAAAGCAGAAGCAAUAGCACUUGCACAG
RNAcentral lists this long non-coding RNA (581 nucleotides) under Manihot esculenta (cassava). RNAcentral's name for it is "long non-coding RNA (MESC_LNC008144)". The record is from RNAcentral. Lineage: Eukaryota; Viridiplantae; Streptophyta; Magnoliopsida; Malpighiales; Euphorbiaceae.